RNAcentral lists this ribosomal RNA (250 nucleotides) under uncultured Pseudomonas sp. Its description in RNAcentral is "partial 16S ribosomal RNA". It matches the Rfam family "Bacterial small subunit ribosomal RNA", at positions 102 to 355 of the family's 1533-position model. Lineage: Bacteria; Pseudomonadati; Pseudomonadota; Gammaproteobacteria; Pseudomonadales; Pseudomonadaceae. The record is from RNAcentral.
ACGGGUGAGUAAUGCCUAGGAAUCUGCCUGGUAGUGGGGGACAACGUUUCGAAAGGAACGCUAAUACCGCAUACGUCCUACGGGAGAAAGCAGGGACCUUCGGGCCUUGCGCUAUCAGAUGAGCCUAGGUCGGAUUAGCUAGUUGGUGAGGUAAUGGCUCACCAAGGCGACGAUCCGUAACUGGUCUGAGAGGAUGAUCAGUCACACUGGAACUGAGACACGGUCCAGACUCCUACGGGAGGCAGCAGCA